Molecule: long non-coding RNA, 361 nt
Filed under: Gouania willdenowi (blunt-snouted clingfish)
Lineage: Eukaryota; Metazoa; Chordata; Actinopteri; Blenniiformes; Gobiesocidae
Description: lncRNA (ENSGWIG00000015365.1)
Source: RNAcentral
CGUGACGACACUUUCGCAUCACGUACAGCGACGGUAACUGCCAGUGGAAAUGGAAAUUAGUUACGUAGCAGUUUCUGCAGAUUUCCAACUCUGAACUGGCGGUUUUCCUGGCCUGGGAAUUACGGCACUAUAAAAACAACGAGGAGGCAGAGAGAUGCAGAGGAGGAAACUACAGGAGACGCUGAGAGAGCUGAACCAGGUCCAAAACACCAUGAGGCAAAAGGAGCAGAUGUUGAACACGCCACCAGAGAAUGUCGAGGACUGCUGCUGUGUGUCGGCCCUGACGUGCUUCCGUGCCAACCUCCAGGUUCAGUUCAACCUCACACAGGGAUCACCAAGGAAACUCUACCGGAGCCUGAAG